RNAcentral lists this long non-coding RNA (245 nucleotides) under Homo sapiens (human). RNAcentral describes it as "long non-coding RNA NONHSAT194708". The record is from RNAcentral. Lineage: Eukaryota; Metazoa; Chordata; Mammalia; Primates; Hominidae.
AGGUACCAUGAAAAGACACAGCCAUUAACAUAUGUGUUCAACUAAACACAGAGCAUUGACUUGAAACAGUACAUGAUCAGAAUGAAGACAAUACUAUAAGGAACUACAGGGAGAAACUAAUAUUGUCAGGGUGGAGAGGAUAAUGGAGAAAACAAAGAAGGAGGCAUUAUACCUAGGACUCCAGGGAGAGAAGGAAACAGGCAAAGGAGCACAUGAACAUGAAAGUUCUGGUGUGUUGACACACG